Molecule: ribosomal RNA, 253 nt
Filed under: uncultured bacterium
Lineage: Bacteria
Description: partial 16S ribosomal RNA
Rfam family: Bacterial small subunit ribosomal RNA
Source: RNAcentral
UACAGAGGUCUCAAGCGUUGUUCGGAUUCAUUGGGCGUAAAGGGUGCGUAGGUGGCGGGGUAAGUCAGGCGUGAAAUCUCGAGGCUCAACCUCGAAACUGCACUUGAUACUGCCUUGCUCGAGUACUGGAGAGGAGAUUGGAAUUUACGGUGUAGCAGUGAAAUGCGUAGAUAUCGUAAGGAAGACCAGUGGCGAAGGCGAAUCUCUGGACAGUUACUGACACUGAGGCGCGAAGGCCAGGGGAGCAAACGGG